AUGUCCCUUGCAAAUUCAACAAGUUCAGAACCUAUUGAUGCAUUUGGGGUUUACACAGGUCUCAGGGUCAACUACAACAAAUCCAUGAUGGUUCCCAUUAAUGCACCUGCUCAUAAAAUCCAGCAACUCUCAGCUAUUUUAGGCUCCGCCGAGGGUAAUUUCCCCUUUACUUACCUUGGACUUCCUCUUGGCAUUUCUAAACCCAAGAUUGAAAAUUUUGCUCCUCUAAUGAAAAGGAUUGGAUCUAGACUUGCUGGUUCCUCCACAAUGCUUUCCUAUGGAGAGAAACUCAUUCUUGUGAAGUCUAUUUUCACUAGCCUACCUACUUUCUUCAUGGGCAGUUUAGACCUUCCCACAGGAGUUGUUGACCAAAUUAAUAAAUACUUGAGACAUUGCUUUUGGAGGAAAUAUGGGAUGGAAGGAAGAGGUACUGCUCUUAUUCCCCGAGACAAAAUUCUUGAUGUGCAAACUCAGAACAAAGCUUUGUUGAUGAAAGAUCCGCAUAAUUUUUUCAAUAGUUAUGACCUCCCUUGGGUGGACCUUAUAUGGAGCUCCUACUAUACUUCUACCCCUCCUCGUGUCAGACCUGUUCGUUCCUUCUGGUGGAAGUCUGUUCUCAAAUUAAUCUCUGAUUUUUAA
RNAcentral lists this ribosomal RNA (639 nucleotides) under Triticum aestivum (bread wheat). RNAcentral's name for it is "partial small subunit ribosomal RNA". Lineage: Eukaryota; Viridiplantae; Streptophyta; Magnoliopsida; Poales; Poaceae. The record is from RNAcentral.